AUUGAACGCUGGCGGCAUGCCUUACACAUGCAAGUCGAACGCGAAAGUAGGGGCAACCCUGCGGGUAGAGUGGCGAACGGGUGAGUAAUGCAUCGGAGCAUUUCCAGUAGCGGGGGAUAACCUCGAGAAAUCGAGGCUAAUACCGCAUACGUCCUACGGGAGAAAGCGGGGGACCGCAAGGCCUCGCACUAUUGGAGUGGCCGAUGCCGGAUUAGCUAGUUGGCGGGGUAAAAGCCCACCAAGGCGACGAUCCGUAGCUGGUCUGAGAGGAUGAUCAGCCACACUGGGACUGAGACACGGCCCAGACUCCUACGGGAGGCAGCAGUGGGGAAUUUUGGACAAUGGGCGCAAGCCUGAUCCAGCCAUGCCGCGUGAGUGAAGAAGGCCUUCGGGUUGUAAAGCUCUUUCGGCCGGGACGAAAUCGCACCCUUUAAUACGGGGUGUGGAUGACGGUACCGGAAGAAGAAGGACCGGCUAACUACGUGCCAGCAGCCGCCGUAA
Molecule: ribosomal RNA, 501 nt
Filed under: uncultured bacterium
Lineage: Bacteria
Description: partial 16S ribosomal RNA
Rfam family: Bacterial small subunit ribosomal RNA
Source: RNAcentral